UUGAGGCGUGAUGAUACUUACCCAUAACUUAUUCUGCAUUUGAAUGAUGAUUAUAUAAUCAUGCACUACCAUCUGAUCUCUC
This is a small nucleolar RNA of Andrographis paniculata, 82 nucleotides long. The record is from RefSeq and is a predicted model, not a curated record. Lineage: Eukaryota; Viridiplantae; Streptophyta; Magnoliopsida; Lamiales; Acanthaceae.